RNAcentral lists this non-coding RNA (25 nucleotides) under Cricetulus griseus (Chinese hamster). The record is from RNAcentral. Lineage: Eukaryota; Metazoa; Chordata; Mammalia; Rodentia; Cricetidae.
AAGAGGGCAUUAUUGAUUCAUCUGA